Long non-coding RNA from Frieseomelitta varia, 1204 nucleotides. RefSeq lists it as uncharacterized. The record is from RefSeq and is a predicted model, not a curated record. Lineage: Eukaryota; Metazoa; Arthropoda; Insecta; Hymenoptera; Apidae. The transcript has 2 exons.
CCGUCGGUUAGAAAAAGCAAAGCAAAGAAAAACGAAAAAACAGAAAAAAAAAAAAAAACACGGCUUGUCUCUUGUAUAAAGGUAGAAAACGAUAAUAUCGCAUAGUUUUUCGAUUAAUACUGGAAAUUUUAGGCUACGUAGAGGAACGUGUUUCGAUGGCCUCGUCCGUCAUCGUAUGUACAAUAAAGGUGACAAAGAAAAAAGGGAAAGAAAGGAGUAAGAUGAAAAAACGUUGUUUCGAUCGCGCGCGUGUGUGCGUGUGCGUGUACGUGUGUGUGUGUGUGUGUGUGUGUGUGUGUGUGUGUAUCGGUAGGGAACCGCGGAUCGGCACCAUCGGAACAACACACUGUGUCUUUCAACAUUGAAAACUGGAAAGCCUCCUGUCGCUUUUACUUGAUCGUUCGUUUCUGUGUAUAUCUGAUCGUUUCUUUUAGCGACCUAAUUUUUUUUUUUUUUUCCACGAUACCGACCGAGGUGGCGAUAAAUCGUCCGCGAUUAGGUGGAGACGGUGGGGUUGGUGGAGGGUGCCGUCGUUGUAAGAUUAUUAUUAUUGCGAAAAAUUCUCGUCAUCGCUCGAUUUAUACACGAUGACAGAACUGCAUAUGUAUCGUGACGAUCAAUUGCCACUUCGUUGCAUGAAUUGUGUUCCCAGCGUAUACGCUACGACGAGCCGAAACGUUACGAAACACGCGGCAAGGAGAGAAAACAAUUGGAGGAAAACGAAGGGGGGAUUACUGCUUCGCACUGCCAAACGAGAUAAAAGAGAGAGAGAGAGAGAGAGAGAGAAAAGAAAACAACGGAAGCUCAACGUUUGUCUCGCGUUCAUUGCGCGAAGGAACCCCCUGAUCCUGUCGAGCGAUCGUCGGAAGCACCGCGGUGUUCAUUGUAAUCCACAUAGUGGUAUCCCGAGAGAGAAAGAGAGAAUGAGAGCGAGAGAGAAUGAAAUAAAAGAAAAAAUGAGAAACAAUACGUGUAGGAGAUAAUAUACUUAGGUAAAGCGCACGCGAAGAUUUUUUAAAUCCGAUUAUUAAGCGCGAGAAACAGAGAGAGAAGAAAAGGAGAAACUAACGCGUCGAACAGUGCUUUUGACUUUUUGGAUACUUUCAUGUACAAAACACGAAUGACGGUUUAUAGCUCAAGGAGAACAUUAAAGAGACAGAUAUUGUAAGAGAGUAAUAAUAAUUUGACGGUUACGAUAUCGUAA